Molecule: long non-coding RNA, 5372 nt
Organism: Homo sapiens (human)
Lineage: Eukaryota; Metazoa; Chordata; Mammalia; Primates; Hominidae
Exons: 2
Source: RefSeq, a predicted model, not a curated record
CUCCUUUCAGCCACUCGCUCCGCGCAGUCAGCUCUGCUGACUCUUCCGGAGGAUUCUGGAAGGUUCCAGAGGGUGUGCCGCCGAGGCCCUGCGAGAGGGCGUUCCCUGGGGAGAACAUUCCAGAGCAAGGUAACAUCCAUAAACGGAGGCUGAAACGGCCUGAGACGUCCCGGGAGUAACGAAGACCCCAAGGCGGCCCCAACUUGAGGGGGGCGAGAGGUCCAUACAAGCUCUGGGCUCAGCCAGAGCAGGGCAGAGAAGGGUCACAGGAUGAAGAGGACAGAGGGCAGAGAGACGACCGGAUGGGAUGACCAGCUGCAGAGAGGAGUACCCUCUCCACUGAGAACAGCAGAAGGCAAGACAACCUGUCCACAGAGAGGAGCUACCCUCUCUGCUGAGAGCUUCAGAGACCUGCAGAGACAUCUGAAUGACCUGCCUGCAGAGAGCAGCUUCCCUCUCUGGGGCCUCCUCUCUGCUGAAAGCUGAACACUCGAGAGACGACCUGCCUACGAGAGGAGCCACCCACUCCUCUGAGCUGUUCUGACACUAAAUACAACUUUUCUUCUUCACGCUUCACUUGUCUGCGUACCUCAUUCUUCCUAGACGCAGGACAAGAGCUCUGGCAAAGGCGCUGCAGCCACAGAGGUUUCCGGCCGGAAAAAUCGGCACCCCAGAGAUCCCAUGAGAACGUCACGUACAGCACUGAGACGGAGCCCUAAUGAAAACUGUGGCUCUGGGUGAUAAUGACGUUACUGUGGGUUCAUCAACUGUAGCAAAUUCGCCCUCUGCUGGGCGUUGUUGGAAAUGCAGAGGCUCUGGGGGGUCAGGUAUGUGGGAGCUCUCUGUACCUUUCUUGUAAUUUGAUGUGAACUUAAAGCUGCUCCAAAAAGAUAAAAUCUUGAAGAAAAGCGAAAAAAAAAAAAAGGAAGAGAGGAAAAAAUGACAGGCAGAAGGUCACGCCUGGCCCCUCAGUGCGCGUCCUCAGGCCUCUGCUCCCAGCUGGGGCUGGCAGGUGGUCGGGGGGGCACCCAGCUCCUCCACUCCCCACGCCCACCACAGCUUUCAAAGUUAGGAACACAGGCAGGGUGGAGGUGAAGUCCGAACAGAAAGAGGAGACUUAAGGGAGGGCGAGCCCUGACUUUGUUUCGUUUUUCCGAGGCGACAUUCGGUGCAGCUUUCUGGGUCCCCAAGGCUGACCCUGCUGCACCAUGAACCACACGUCCACACCCUCACUGUCUCCCGCUCAUGACAUCAGCUCACCUGAGACUGUCACCGAAGGCUCUUUAACGUGAAAUGAGUGGUUUUAACUAUUUUUAAGUACACAGUUGUGUGGCAUUAAGUGCAUUCACUAUGAUGUGUGGCCAUCACCAUCGUCCACCCUAGAACCCCUUCAUUUUCCCCAACAAAUUCUGUCCCUUUAAGCAAGUGCUCCCCAUCCCCCACCCCCUUCUACCUUCUGUCUCUGUGAAUCUGAUGACCGUCAGUCUCUGAGCACAGCCAUACCAUCGUGGGCCUUUUGUGUCUGGCUUACUUCACCGAGCAUAAUGUCCUCAGGGUUUAUCCGCAUUGUGGCAGGUGCCAGAAUCCCCUUCCUUUUUUAAAGGCUGAAUAAUGCUUUACCGUAUGGAUAGACCACAUUUUGUUUAUGCGUUCAUCCGUUAUCGGACGCUUGGGUUGGACCAUGUUUAGUGGGUGUGAAUAAGGCUGCCCUAAACACGGGUGCACAGGCAUCUGCCCAAGUCCCUGCUCUCAGUUCUUUUUGAGAAAUACCCAAAAGUGAAAUUGCUGGGUCAUAUGGCAGUUCUAUUUUUAAGGUUUUGAGGAGCCGCCACACUGUCUUCCCCAGCGGCUGCCCUGUUUUACAUCCCCUCAAGCAAUGUAAAGGGUCCCGGUGUCCCCACAUCCUCCAGUUUCUCCACAUCCCGAGCACUUGCUGUCUUCUAUUUUUGAUACUUGUUACCCUAAUGGCUGUGAGGUGGCACCUCAUUGUGGUUUUGAUUUGAAUUUCCCUAAUGACCUGUGAUAGUGAGCAUCUUUUCAUGGGUUUAUUGGCCAUUUGUAUGUCUUCUCUGAAGAAAUUGUCUAUUCAAGUCCUUUGACCAUUUUUGAAUCGAGCUGUUUGUUUUUUUGUUGUUGAGUUGUGGGGGUUCUUUAUACAUUACUGAAGGCUUAUUUUUAUGGUCCAAUAAUUCUUUAUAGCACUGGGUGCUCGCUAGCCAGAUGCCGUGAUUAUUUAUGGCCUGGGACUGCGGGUACACAUGUCUCCAUUUGGAGGCUCAGCCAACGUUUCUAGGUCUGUUAACUUGAAUUCAUCUUUUAAAUUGAAAAAAAGAUUUAUUUUCCUCCUUAUAACAGUCAAAUCUCCGCCUUUCGUGUUUCCAGGGCCAAGUACUAUCUGGGGGUAAAAUGUUAAAGCUCAGUGAGAAAUCCCUGGAUACACGGAGGUUACAUUUCAAAGGCCAGACCCCUGGUGAGAGCAGAAUAAUAGUGUCAUAAAUGGCGAUGUUGUAUUGUGCAGUUGAUAAAUUGAGUAAAUAUUUGCUAAAAGCCAGGAAACCCCCACAGCAAUAAGGACAAAUGAUGUUCAUCAAAAUGGCAGCCGUUUACUCAAGAAUUAGGCAGAACCCACGGCGGGAUGGACACUUGGACGUGCUCUCGGGACGGGCUGGCUAGGAAAGCUACAGCUGCAGAUGGAGCUGGGAACCUCGCCCUGCCCUGAAACCCAAGGGAAAAUCAGACUCCGAGGCACCGGUCGCCCUAAACCACCACAGAUGGGGUUUCCACCUUCCUAGGAAUAAGAGUGGAAUAUGCACCUGGGGGUGCAGCUUCGCCUUCCGCACAACAAGGGUCAGCGCCAAUGUUUCCCUGAGAUUCUCAGAGACCCAGAGCGCUGCCACCAGCGGCCUCCUGCCUCCCUGGAGCUCUUACCUCCCGCUCCCUCUCUCCGUCCAGGUGCUUACUUCUGGGAACUAAUCACUCAGUUUGUCUGAUUUUUUACUUUUAAAUCUCUUUCAAACCAUUGGUGCCUUUGCAGCUUCUUGUAGCCACCGUCAGAGCCAGGCAGCAGGGGAGGAGGAGGCUUGGACUGUGGUGCAGAAAACCCCGUCCAGCCUCACUUGCCUUGGGAAGGCUUUGAAAGGAUCAUUUAUACACUGGAGGAUUCCAUGAAGACUUUUUUUGGCCACCCUGAGUGGUUCAAGGUUCACCCUGUCUCUGUGAGGCUCGGCCUUGCCUUCUUUCAUCAAAAGAAAAACAGAAGCCAAGGCUGAGGCCUUGCUGACCGGUCCCUCCCGAGUCCCUUCCUAACUGGAAACGAUGAUUCAGUCCAGAACUCCGCCUGCUCAGUCCCUGCUGUAAACUUCGUGGCUCUCUUUAAGUGCUGCUAGAUGCCAAGCCAGGGAGACAGCCUGUAUCAUCAGUGCAGUCGCCCUGGGGGUGACACCAGGGAUGAUUAUGUAAAUUCUCAUAAAACCCACAGGCAAGUUUUGCUGCGGCCCGGCCUCCGGAGUCCUCCUGGUUGUAAGGGAAAGCACGAACUUGAGCGUGAAGACUCCAAAGCAGAAAAAAAGCAGAGCUCAGGAGGAAGCCUGCAGGGAAGGCCAAACCCUCCUGUGUGUGGAGCGGAGGUCAGGCUGGGGCGGGCGGCCACAGCUCCCCACCCUGGCCGCACCCCAGCCUGCAGAUCUGACAGAUGCAGGCCCCACUGCACCUGACAGUGCCGUGCUCAAAUUGCUCACUCAGCAAUGACAUAUUGGUGACCUGCCGGCAGCAGGCACUGUGGACAACACGUGGGGAGCACUGAGCAGGGCUACCUGCAGACGGCCUGGAAGCUCACCUUGGGCCGACUGGCAGCAGGUCACAUGGCCUCUCUUAAUUAAUCUAAUUUCCCACAAGGCAGCCGGGGGUUAUUCCAGGCAAACCUGAAUUCCUGCGUGGAACCUCAGGUGCCAACACCUGCACAUGUAAGCGGUGUCCAGGCUGCACCCUGGAGCCCAACCCUGGACCCCUUUGGGAUGGUGAGACCCUGGGCCUCACCCUUCUCACCUCUGAGUGAGGCUUCUCCCCUGACCCUGUUCCUUGUACCCCACCCAGAUGUUUUGGUAUUUUUCUGUACCCACAUCUCCACACACACAGUGGCACUUCUCACCAAGGACUUGUAAUCACAGAAAGCGAUGGACAGAGGCAGACGCAGCAAGGGUGAUGGGAGCUGGCGGAGAAGAUGGUCCAGGGUGCAGGGGCACCACAGAGGUUGUGACAUCACCUCAGGGUCCAAGACGUGCUUCCUAGGGGCCCCCUGGCGGUCUCCAGGAUGAGGGGUGGGCAGUGUGGGAGACCCCCAGGCAAAGGAGUGGCAGACAUUGACAGAAAGGAGUGGCAGACAUUGACAGUGGAAGGUCUGCGGGGAUGUGGGGGAGGUGCGCCGGGUGGGGAGGGGCCGCAGGCAAGGCCACAGUGUCCGGAUGGUCCUGUGAAGGAAGGGAGCCCCCAAACACAUUCACGUAGGGCAGUGCUGUGGGCAGAUGCAAAUUUUCAGAGUGUUCGCUGGAGAUGGAGGGGGCCGGACCACCCCCAAGUCUCAGGAGAAGUCACAGGGGAGGAGACUCUGGGACUCUGGGUUCAGGUAAAUACUUCGGGUUUGGCGUUGAUGCUCCUUUUGGGCAAUCUGUAGACUGAGUGACACCUGUCUCCCUGUCCACUCCCCUCCUACCCUUGUGAUUAUCCAUCAGUAUUUAUGGGCCUGGCUGGUCAGACCAAGCAGGCCACAGCACAGCAUGGAGCUCUAGGCCUCUGUGCGUCUCUGGUGUUUGGAUCCUAGGACCUGAAGGUCCAGGGGAGAAGUCGUCUGGGGGGUUGGGAGGCUCAGGGAAGAGGCUGCUUCCUGCUGUGGACUUGAUUAGCAGCCCCAUGGACAGUCACUGGACUGUUAGCGAGGCAGGAGUCCAGAGGAGCCAGGGUGACACCAUUUUAAAAUCAGCACCGUCUUAAACUAGCAAGGCACACUCCUUGCCACACACAAGCCAUGGUCCUAAGAUGUUUACAGCUAAGGAAGCAGCUUGGUGAUGCCUGCAAAGCAAACUCCAAGAACAGAAAGUCCAGACGUCCAAUACCCAUAAUUAGGUCUAUGCUUUCAAGAUAGUAAGAGUCAUGCUAUGAUGACUGACACACUAAAAUGUCAAGGAUGGUUUUCUUUAAACCAAUAGAAUGAUAAACCUUGUCAUGCUCUCUGCUCAGCUGCACAUAUGCACAGCUUCACUUCGCUUUGCAGACAAGACUUCUGUGUAAGAAAAAUGGAAAAAGAAGUUGGUGUGUCCUCUGCUUGCUUUCUGCUCUGUAACAGAGUCAUUUCUAAUAAACGUGCCUCUUUCACUGUG